This 67-nucleotide non-coding RNA is filed under the name Prorocentrum micans. The record is from RNAcentral. Lineage: Eukaryota; Dinophyceae; Prorocentrales; Prorocentraceae.
UUUUUUUUUUUUUUUUUUUUUUUUCUUAUCCUUUUCACUGUCUGCCCGUUUCUGGUUGAUCACCAUA